Molecule: ribosomal RNA, 379 nt
Filed under: uncultured Bacteroidales bacterium
Lineage: Bacteria; Pseudomonadati; Bacteroidota; Bacteroidia; Bacteroidales
Description: bacterial SSU rRNA
Rfam family: Bacterial small subunit ribosomal RNA
Source: RNAcentral
GCUCAGGAUGAACGCUAGCUACAGGCUUAACACAUGCAAGUCGAGGGGUAGCAGGGUAGCAAUACCGCUGACGACCGGCGCACGGGUGAGUAACACGUAUCCAACCUUCCCAUAACUCAGGGAUAGCCUUUCGAAAGAAAGAUUAAUACCUGAUAGUACUUAAGAAAGGCAUCUUUUUUAAGUUAAAGAUUUAUUGGUUAUGGAUGGGGAUGCGUUCCAUUAGAUAGUUGGUGAGGUAACGGCUCACCAAGUCUUCGAUGGAUAGGGGUUCUGAGAGGAAGGUCCCCCACAUUGGCACUGAGACACGGACCAAACUCCUACGGGAGGCAGCAGUGAGGAAUAUUGGUCAAUGGGCGAGAGCCUGAACCAGCCAAGUAGC